AUUGAACGCUGGCGGCAGGCCUAACACAUGCAAGUCGAGCGAGCGGCGGACGGGUGAGUAAUGUAUGGGGACUGCCCGAUAGAGGGGGAUAACUACUGGAAACGGUAGCUAAUACCGCAUACUAUCGGAUAACCCAUAUGGGAUUAGCUAGUAGGUGAGGUAAUGGCCCGCCUAGGCGACGCUCCCUAGCUGGUCUGAGAGGAUGAUCAGCCACACUGGGACGUAGCCACGACGCAGACUCCUACGGAGGCAGCAGUGGGGAAUAGUGCACAAUGGGCGCAAGCCUGAUGCCGCCAUGCCGCGUGUAUCAAGAAGGCCGUCGGGUUGUAAAGUACUUUCAGUCGGGAGGCGUUACCGACAGAGGAAGCACCGGCUAACUCCGUGCCAGCCGCCGCGGUAAUAC
This 403-nucleotide ribosomal RNA is filed under the name uncultured bacterium. RNAcentral describes it as "partial 16S ribosomal RNA". It matches the Rfam family "Bacterial small subunit ribosomal RNA", at positions 30 to 526 of the family's 1533-position model. The record is from RNAcentral.